AGGCUGGCCGGGGUACGUGGGGAUGUUUCACAAUGCGAGUUCCUUCCUGUAUGUGUACACGCACGCGCACGCACACUGGCCCUAGGUAAGAAGUUGCCAGAUCUUUAACGUCUUCAAACCACCCUUUCUGGAUCUUUUCCCCCUCCUUUUGGAAGCAGGUCCUGCAGCCUGGAUUCUCCUUUCUUCUUUACAAAAAGCCUGGUGUGGGUCACAGCUCCCGAGGCUCCUGGGUUGCAGUGGCCUCUUUUCUUCAAGAAUGAACGUACUGGGUAGCAAAGCAGAGAGAAGGAGGCUUGCCCCAAGCUGGCAGCCUCAGUAUUUCUGGGACAUCAGUGCUGCUCCUUCUCACAAGUUACAUCCUGUCCGUGGACAGACUGGCCCAACAACAAGCAAACCAGUCAUCUUCCCUGAGCACUGUGGCUGGAGGUGAAUGUCCCAGCAAGUUUGCCAUCAUGUCUCCAUCACUACACAAACUCCGUGGCUAAGAGACGAGCUUUGCUGAGGCUGUGAGCUGUUAUCAUAAAGCACAGAGUGGCACCUUCAUUUAGGGAGUGUGGACGUGGGAUUUAGAAGUGAGAGGAUGAUGAAGUGGGACUGAAACCUGAGUUCGAUCUCACCUGGAAGAAAAACAGCACUGAGAGUAUCUGCCCGUCUUUCCACUCAAAGACUAGCCUCCCUGGUGUGAUUUCCUUAAAGCAGCCUGUGGUGUGACAGAGCCAAGUGAGACAACUCCGGUGACGCCCUCCCCUCCGGCCAGGCGCACACCUGAUUCACAGACGCUGGAGGGAGGAAGGGGGAAGAGGAUUUCAGAAGCACAGCCAGCUGGGCCCCUCCCCUACCUCCUAAAAGCAAAUAUAGUUAGUCCUCAUCUACUUGGGAGCUGAGCAGGCUCUUAAUUCAGAAAACACCAUGACCAGCACUUAAUUUCCUAAGUGUAAGGACAUAAGGGAUAUAUCAUCUUCUGGAUGAAAAAAUUCUCCUGAAAUAAAAUAAGAGUUAAUAUUUUUUAGGGGGAGGGUAUAGCUCAGUGGUAGAGCACGUGCUUAGCAUACAUGAGGUCCUGCGUUCAAUCCCCAGUACCUCCAUUAAAAUAAACAAAUAAACAAACCUAAUUAUCCGCCCCCAUAAAAACAAAACAAAAACGAAAGAGCUAAUUUUGUAUUAAAUACUUAUUAUUUGUAUUAAAUACUUAUUUUUUUUUUAUUAAACACAGUGCAGUAGGUGCUAAGGCCAGCACCUUACCUGCUUUUACUUAUGACAAAGUUCACAUCUGCAAAAAAUUUCAUUAUUUCACUAUUUUAUAGAUGAAGAAACUUAGGACAGCAGCUUGCCCAGAGUUUCACAGCUGAGCCAAAAUUUAAAGCAAAAUUUUGUGUGUUUGUUUUUAAGAGCCAGAACUAUUGACAAGUAUAUCACAUUACCUAUGGAGUAACCAAUUCAGUAAAAUGAAUAUGACUAGCAUGGAGCCUGCCUGCCUAACCUUACAAUUAGUUUGUAUUGUAUACAUAAUAACUUAUUUUGGCAUAAAAAUUUUUACCACAUUUAAAAAAAAAUCACAAAACGUUGAAACUUUCAAAGUAAACAUUUCACAACAAUGAGAAAUAACUGUAUCAAAACCUGGGUAAAAUUCAUAACAUAGACAGCAUCAAGAUUCACGUCAAAGGCAGUGAUCCCACUGAAAGUCACAAAGGAAAAAAAACACAAUUCAGUAUUCACAGUAGCACUAUUUACAACAGCCAAGACAUAGAAGCAAUCUAAGUGUACAUCGAUAGAUCACUGAAUAAAGAAAUUGUGGUAUAUAUAUAUAUAUAUAUAUAUACACACACAUACACACAAUGGAAUACUACACAGCCAUAGAAAAGAAUGAAAUAAUGCCAUUUGCAGAAACAUGGAUGGCGCUGGAGAUCAUUAUUCUAAGUCAGAUAAGCCAAAAAGAGAAAGAAAAAUAUCAUAUGAUAUCACUCAUAUGUGGAAUCUAAAAAAAAAAAAAGAAAAAGACACAAAGACAAAACAGAGACAGACUCACAGACAUAGAACAAAGUUAUGGUUACCAGGAGGGAAAAGGGGUGGGAGGGAUAAAUUGGGAGUUCGAGAUUUGCAGAUACUAACUACUAUAUAUAAUGUAGAUAAACAACAAAUUUCUUCUGUAUAGUGCAGGGAACUAUAUUCAAUAUCUUGUAGUAACCUAUAAUGAAAAAGAAUGUGAAAAGGAAUAUAUGUAU
Molecule: long non-coding RNA, 2222 nt
Organism: Camelus dromedarius (Arabian camel)
Lineage: Eukaryota; Metazoa; Chordata; Mammalia; Artiodactyla; Camelidae
Exons: 3
Source: RefSeq, a predicted model, not a curated record